UUCUCCCUCUGUUUGAGGUGGGUUUUUUUAAAACAGUAGUUUCAAGGAAUUUGUUUGCACUAAUUCACUCUUCACAAACAUUAAAGCCUUUCCUUUAUCUCUGAGAUCCUCUGUCAAAGUUGUCUGGCUGUGAAGAGCAUCAGAGUGUGCUUCUAACAGGAAAAAAAGGAAACUGGUGCUAAACCAUAAAAGGCACCUCUCUAGGAAAGGACAAGAGAAGGAUGGGAGUGUCUGCUCUGCCUGGAGACAGGAGCUGGGGAAGAACACUGAGCACUGAAAGUGAGCUCACAAAUCCAGAGAUGACCUGGAACAAUGAAAACAAGAGACUGAUUUGGUCCAUCAGCCUCAGUGUGGCUCUACAUGGCACAAGGACUCAACCUUCAGCCAGUUUGGGAAGAAAGGAUGAGAAAAAGCACAGAAGACAGGGGAGGAGGGUAAGUAUGGAAAGUAGAGAGCUGUCAGGACUGGAUACUGAGCUAAAAAAUCAGUGGGAGGGGAAGCCUUACCAGCAGCCUAGGCAAAAAAAAAAAAAAUUAUCAGAGGAAGAAUACAGAAUACUUGGAAAGGGCACUGGCCAGAGCAGGCUUUGGUUUUGUUAGUUAUGGACAGGAAACUCACAACCAAAGGUGGCUUGGAAGAGAAGGAGCACAUGGAUCAAAGAAGAGGAAAUGCCAUAGUGUAUUCACCAAGGCUCUGCCUGCUGUUGAAUAGCAGAGGGAAAGUAGAGCUUUUUGUGCUUGAAUAAGAAGUUUAAAGAAGUCUUUUAAGAACAGCGUAAGAAUCUAGUAAAAAGAAACAACCUGAAGUGAUUGUGGGCAGCCCCUAGCAUCCUGGAAUAAAAAGAACAAUAUAAAACACAGUCCAACAGAAAUAAUGGGGACGAUAGAGGGAGCCAAAUUAAUUCAAAAAAACAUUAGGUAAAAUUGGUACCAUAGCUCUUCUGACAAAAAGAGAGAUUAGGAGUCUUCAUUUAAAGUUCACAAAGCUCUUAGCAGGGCAGAGAGUGGGGAUACUACAAAGCUGUUUGACCCAGUGUCAAGAACAAGCAAAGAUGCAGCAGUGAGAUAAGCCACAGCUGGACAUGGCAGGAAUUCAGGGAGGAAUGUCAGCACAGAGCAAGACAGAACUGCAACAUAAACUCCCCUUACGUGGCCAGGGCACCACAAGUUAGCUCCAUGGAAGAGCUGGGCAUUAGUAGAAUUCUGUAACUAGCCCAGAGGAAACUGUGCCUGAGGAUUUGUCACCCCUAGAUCCUUCACACAGAGCUGCUGGUGUUUUACAGUGAUCCUGCAUGCUGACAGAGUGCCCUGAGCUGGCCUGCCCUCUCCUCUCACAGCUACUGCAGGGAGCUGCAGCUGGCUCAAUCCAGUGCAGGCAGACACAAUACACAAGAGAUCACAUUCUGUCUUGCUCAAGACCAAGUCUUGCAGUCAUUGUGCCUUGAAACACAGGCAGGGUUUCAGUGUAGCAUGUUGAUCUCCUUCAAACAAUAAAUGAACCAAGUCAAAAGCUUUUAGGGAAAACAGAUGCAAAGGCUGAACUUAGAAAGAUAACUAAUCAACCACUUAAAAAAUAGAGUGCAUUUUGGCAGAAACCUUGGUGAGGAAGGCAUAGGAAAUCUAUUUUCUGUGUGAAAUUUACAGCGAAGGAAAGCAAGGUCUGUGUCUGAAGAAAAAUCAGGUGUCUGAUGACACUCAUCUCCUGUGCCAUCCUCUCAGCCAUGCCAUUUCUCAAGUGACCCUCACAGACCCCCAAAGAGCACAGCAGUUGCCACACCAGAUGAGCCUGGUAGCCUUCCUAAUCCAGCCUUCUCACUCCAACAGUUGCUACCCUCUGAUACUUCAAAGAAAGGUGCAAGAAACCCCAUAGUGGACAAUUAUAGAAUAACCCGCCCACAAGGGAAGUUUUUUCCUAAUCCCUUGCCAUCAGUUAGUGGUUAUAUUGUGCCUUGAAGCCUGACAGUUUAUAUCCCUUCUAAAAUUUAUUUAUAUCCUGUCUAAUGUGACCAUGAAUGUUCUUGGUAUCCAUAUAAAUGUCUAAUCCUUUUCCGAAUCCUGCUAAUCUCCUGGGCUCAAUGAAACCUC
This is a long non-coding RNA of Melospiza melodia melodia, 2084 nucleotides long. RefSeq lists it as uncharacterized. The transcript is spliced from 3 exons. The record is from RefSeq and is a predicted model, not a curated record. Lineage: Eukaryota; Metazoa; Chordata; Aves; Passeriformes; Passerellidae.